RNAcentral lists this ribosomal RNA (583 nucleotides) under uncultured Bacteroidota bacterium. Its description in RNAcentral is "bacterial SSU rRNA". It matches the Rfam family "Bacterial small subunit ribosomal RNA", at positions 914 to 1504 of the family's 1533-position model. Lineage: Bacteria; Pseudomonadati; Bacteroidota. The record is from RNAcentral.
CGGGGGUCCGCACAAGCGGUGGAGUAUGUGGUUUAAUUCGAUGAUACGCGAGGAACCUUACCUGGGCUAGAAUGCGAGUGCUGUAACCUGAAAGGGUUAUUUCUGUCAAAAGACACGAAGCAAGGUGCUGCAUGGCUGUCGUCAGCUCGUGCCGUGAGGUGUUGGGUUAAGUCCCGCAACGAGCGCAACCCUUGUCAUUAGUUGCCAACAGGUCAAGCUGGGGACUCUAAUGAGACUGCCGUCGUAAGACGCGAGGAAGGAGGGGAUGAUGUCAAGUCAUCAUGGCCUUUAUGUCCAGGGCUACACACGUACUACAAUGGUAGAGACAAAGAGCCGCGACUGUGCGAGCAGAAGCCAAUCUCAAAAACUCUAUCUCAGUUCGGAUCGCAGUCUGCAACUCGACUGCGUGAAGCUGGAAUCGCUAGUAAUCGUAGAUCAGCAAUGCUACGGUGAAUACGUUCCCGGACCUUGCACACACCGCCCGUCAAGCCAUGAAAGCCGGGUGUACCUAAAGUCGGUAACCGAAAGGAGCUGCCUAGGGUAAAACCGGUAAUUGGGGCUAAGUCGUAACAAGGUAACCGUA